Molecule: unclassified non-coding RNA, 363 nt
Filed under: Hevea brasiliensis (rubber tree)
Lineage: Eukaryota; Viridiplantae; Streptophyta; Magnoliopsida; Malpighiales; Euphorbiaceae
Source: RNAcentral
UGAGUUCUUGGGGAAUUUGAGUGGGGACCCCUACAUUCUUCACACUAACGUGUUUAGCCAAGGCAAAGGAAACAGAGAGCAGCAAUUCUAUCUAUGGUUUGACCCAACUGCAGAUUUUCACACCUAUUCCAUUCUUUGGAAUCCCCAGCGCAUCAUGUAAGCAUCCCAAUAUCAAUCCAAACUACUUAAUUUAACUUUCUUUUUGUAGUUUUGCAUUCUGUGCUAAACAAACUUAUCCAACUCUGUUUCAGAUUCUCUGUCGAUGGCACCCCAAUUAGGGAAUUUAAGAACUUGGAGAGCAAUGGUGUUCCUUUCCCAAAGAAUCAACCAAUGAGGAUUUAUUCUAGCCUAUGGAAUGCUGAU